ACCUAAAUUUUGAAAAGUCUCAGAUACGCUUGUUUUACGGUACCUUUUACCACUUCUAAAUAGGGAGAGGUAUGAUUUGAGAUAAUGGUUAGAAUUAAACGACUUAGAUUACGGAUUACGCCCGGCAACCCAGCAAGGCAUAGAUAAUAGAAAAAGAAGUACAGUAACAGAAUUCAGCCCGGCCCAACAUCGAGCAGACACCCCUCCUUCAUCCGACGACGUCGAGCUGCCAGAAUCGCCGCCGCCACGACACCACGUCCUGCACCUCAUGCGACCCCUGCCGCCACCAGAUCGGACCGGCCCUGCAUCUCCGACGAGCGCAUCCGCCAUCAGGUCGGCCCCGUCGUGCGUCGAGGGCGAGCGCCUCCGCCACCAGGUCGGCCCCGUCGUGCUUCGCCGGCGAGCCACGCGGCCACUAGGUUGACGCAGCCGCAACAUCGAGAGAUGCCAGCACCAAUCUCGCCUCCAGGUGUCCUCCAUGACUGUCGACGUACAUUGCUGAUGUUAUCUUCAUUUCCCGGAUAGUAGCAUCAAGCGAGGCAAUCUGUUCUUUUUCUUCCUCCAAAGCAACAGACAUGGAAGUCAAGCUCUCAGUCAGCCCAGUUAUCUCUUGCUUGCAGACAUGGAUUUGCUGCAGAGCCUCAUACAUACAACUCUUCAUUGAACUUCACUUGCUUUUUGAACUCCAAGAUCAGGAAUUCUUGGCAGGCUCCAGUUUUGCGAUGAUAUUACAUGAACUAGUUGUUGGUAAAACUGAAUGUAAUUGCAAGAGUGAUUUUACUUAUUUUCCUAGAGUACUUGGUACUCAUUUGCUGUCAGAUAGUUUGAAAUAUAAUAUUUCAGUCCAUUCGUAAACUGCCUUUAGCCAGUUUUA
Long non-coding RNA from Lolium perenne, 874 nucleotides. RefSeq lists it as uncharacterized. NCBI's taxonomy places the organism in Eukaryota, Viridiplantae, Streptophyta, Magnoliopsida, Poales, Poaceae. The record is from RefSeq and is a predicted model, not a curated record.